AGUGAACGCUGGCGGUAGGCCUAACACAUGCAAGUCGAACGGCAGCACAGUAAGAGCUUGCUCUUACGGGUGGCGAGUGGCGGACGGGUGAGGAAUACAUCGGAAUCUACUUUUUCGUGGGGGAUAACGUAGGGAAACUUACGCUAAUACCGCAUACGACCUACGGGUGAAAGCAGGGGAUCUUCCGACCUUGCGCGAUUGAAUGAGCCGAUGUCGGAUUAGCUAGUUGGCGGGGUAAAGGCCCACCAAGGCGACGAUCCGUAGCUGGUCUGAGAGGAUGAUCAGCCACACUGGAACUGAGACACGGUCCAGACUCCUACGGGAGGCAGCAGUGGGGAAUAUUGGACAAUGGGCGCAAGCCUGAUCCAGCAAUACCGCGUGGGUGAAGAAGGCCUUCGGGUUGUAAAGCCCUUUUGUUGGGAAAGAAAAGCAGCAGGUUAAUACCCCGCUGUUCUGACGGUACCCAAAGAAUAAGCACCGGCUAACUUCGUG
This 492-nucleotide ribosomal RNA is filed under the name uncultured bacterium. Its description in RNAcentral is "partial 16S ribosomal RNA". It matches the Rfam family "Bacterial small subunit ribosomal RNA", at positions 29 to 507 of the family's 1533-position model. The record is from RNAcentral.